CAAACGCCACAGCACCUUUUCCUCGCUCUUUCCUCUCUCCAUUUCUCAGCCUUCUUUCUUCAUUCUCAAAUUCUGAGUCUUAGAUUCUACUCAUAACAUACACUAGCAUUUUCCUCGCUCUUUCCCUCUCUCAACCAAACCGUACGCAGUAUUUUGUUCCUUUCUUCGAUUCGAUCCUCUCUCAUCAGAAACAUGGCGGAAUCGGUGGAGCUUCCAAAUCGGUUAGCAAUCCUUCCAUUCAGGAACAAGGUCCUUUUGCCUGAUGCCAUCAUUCGAAUUCGUUGCACUUCCCCAAGCAGGUUCACGAGCGUUAUGUUACGAGGCUGCGGAAGAAGUUGCAGCAUGAGGAGAGGAAACAAGCUAAUCAGAGAAGGGUGCUUUCUGAUUCUGAAACAGUCCGGUGGUUGAACCAUGCAGUUGAAAACAUAUGGCCUAUAUGUAUGGAACAGAUUGCUUCUCAGAAGAUUUUACUCCCUAUCAUACCUUGGUUAUUAGAGAAGUACAAACCUUGGACUGCUAAAGAAGCCGUUGUACAGCACCUAUACUUGGGAAAAAACCCACCUUUGUUUACUGAAAUAAGGGUACUUCACCCUUAUAAUGAUUUUUGGAAGAUCAACUUAAGUCAUUCCUUCAAAGAUUAUGAUAUCCGGUUCUGGAAGUAGACCCGGAUCAUGGAUUUCAGGAGCUCUCGCUCUUCCUGCUGGUUUCGACAAUAAAUUUUUUUUUUCAAACAUAAGACAUCCAUUUUUUGUUUCUAUUAUCUGGCAAAUGUAUUAAGUACAUAAAUGAAGACUGAAGACAAACAAAUACAUUAUGAAUUGCCAUGUCUUGUCUUGCAUACUUGUUUGACAACUACAAUUUAUUGUCGUAUAUUUCUCUUAAAUUGCAUGUUAUUGAGAAGGAGAUAAUGCCUCGGGAGUUUAAAAAUGCAAUAUUAGAGAAUCUGGUUUUGUUCUAUAAAAAUGCAAUUUUAGUAUGAAUCUACAGGUAUUCAUAUAUUAAAUGUUUCCUUUUAUUUUUCAAUUUGUAUGUCUUGCAGCUUACAUGCUCCAAGAUCAGGAGGUACAUGCUGUUGAGGAAGAAAGAUAGCAUCACAGUAAUGAACUCAUGGCAUUCAGUUUCACCCAAGGAAGAAAGAUGGGUUGCAUAUGAAUGAUGAUGAGGCUUCAAUCCCUAAUUGGAUCAAUACAACCUCUGCAUCCUUAAAGGCAUAAUCUACGGUGGCCAAUGUGGACGAGUGGAAAUGGAAGCUCAGAAUGCUGUUACGCAGUGAAAAGGACUAGAAGAUUGUAUCUAGAAAUAAAAAAGACAGGAGAGACUAAACAGAUAGCUAACCUUGCCAAAAGAAUGGGACUUUACAGGUUAAAAGAUACAUAUUUACAUAUGCAUCCCUCAAGAUUUUAGCCUCAGAUCAUGACAAGCUUCUGAAAAAAGUUAUCAAAGAAUAUUCUAUGAUCGUUAAGGAUCUUAUCAAAUAUUUGUCUUUGCCCAUUUUUAUAGUUACAAGGAUAUGAGGCUACUUGUAAAAAACAGGAUAACUUUCAAAUUUUG
Long non-coding RNA from Gastrolobium bilobum, 1551 nucleotides. RefSeq lists it as uncharacterized. The transcript has 6 exons. The record is from RefSeq and is a predicted model, not a curated record. NCBI's taxonomy places the organism in Eukaryota, Viridiplantae, Streptophyta, Magnoliopsida, Fabales, Fabaceae.